This 266-nucleotide ribosomal RNA is filed under the name uncultured bacterium. Its description in RNAcentral is "partial 16S ribosomal RNA". It matches the Rfam family "Bacterial small subunit ribosomal RNA", at positions 524 to 778 of the family's 1533-position model. The record is from RNAcentral.
UACGUAGGGGCAAGCGUUGUCCGGAAUCGAUUGGCGUGAAGCAGCGUGUAGCGGCUUCGAUAAGUCUGCUCGGUGAAAAGUCCAGGGCUCAACCCUGGGAUGCCGGUGGAUACGUGUCGAGCUCGGAGUCCGGGAAGAGGGCGAAGUGGAAUUCCUGGUGUAGCGGUGAAAUGCGCAGAUAUCAGGAGGAACGACCAACUGGCGAAGGCAGCUCGCUCGGGACGGUGACUGACGCUGAGACGCGAAGCGUGGGGAGCAAACGGGAU